GACGAACGCUGGCGGCGUGCCUAAUACAUGCAAGUAGAACGCUGAAGGAGGAGCUUGCUCUUCUGGAUGAGUUGCGAACGGGUGAGUAACGCGUAGGUAACCUGCCUGGUAGCGGGGGAUAACUAUUGGAAACGAUAGCUAAUACCGCAUAAGAGUAGAUGUUGCAUGACAUUUGCUUAAAAGGUGCAAUUGCAUCACUACCAGAUGGACCUGCGUUGUAUUAGCUAGUUGGUGGGGUAACGGCUCACCAAGGCGACGAUACAUAGCCGACCUGAGAGGGUGAUCGGCCACACUGGGACUGAGACACGGCCCAGACUCCUACGGGAGGCAGCAGUAGGGAAUCUUCGGCAAUGGACGGAAGUCUGACCGAGCAACGCCGCGUGAGUGAAGAAGGUUUUCGGAUCGUAAAGCUCGGUUGUAAGAGAAGAACGAGUGUGAGAGUGGAAAGUUCACACUGUGACGGUAGCUUACCAGAAAGGGACGGCUAACUACGUG
This 495-nucleotide ribosomal RNA is filed under the name uncultured bacterium. Its description in RNAcentral is "partial 16S ribosomal RNA". It matches the Rfam family "Bacterial small subunit ribosomal RNA", at positions 28 to 507 of the family's 1533-position model. The record is from RNAcentral.